AGACGAUCACUUGAUUUAGGAUCAAGGUUUGUUAAUGAAAAUAUUUUUGUGAUUUUUUGGUUAUUUGCAUGUUUUUGUGGUUUUUGAAUAAUGGCUAAACUAAACUAACGGAGCAAGAAAAUAAAACGUAGUAACCUAAGCAGAAAAAUAAAGCAUACACCCACACACGCACACAUGCACCUAAGUUAUUACAAAAAACCUAUUAUACAUGCUAUGGUCUGCGAGAAAGUAA
RNAcentral lists this long non-coding RNA (232 nucleotides) under Medicago truncatula (barrel medic). RNAcentral describes it as "long non-coding RNA (MTRU_LNC007037)". Lineage: Eukaryota; Viridiplantae; Streptophyta; Magnoliopsida; Fabales; Fabaceae. The record is from RNAcentral.